AUACAGAGGGUGCGAGCGUUGUUCGGAAUUAUUGGGCGUAAAGCGCGAGUAGGCGGUUUCCUAAGUCGUCUGUGAAAGCCCCCGGCUCAACCGGGGAAGUGCGGGCGAAACUGGGUGACUUGAGUCCUGGAGAGGGUCGCGGAAUUCCCGGUGUAGAGGUGAAAUUCGUAGAUAUCGGGAGGAACACCAGAGGCGAAGGCGGCGACCUGGAAAGUGACUGACGCUGAGAAGCGAAAGCGUGGGGAGCAAACAGGAUUAGAUACCCUGGUAGUCCACGCCGUAAACGAUGAGUACUAGCUGUGGCGGGUGUUGACCCCUGCCGUGGCGCAGCUAACGCACUAAGUACUCCGCCUGGGAAGUACGGCCGCAAGGCUAAA
Molecule: ribosomal RNA, 377 nt
Filed under: uncultured bacterium
Lineage: Bacteria
Description: bacterial SSU rRNA
Rfam family: Bacterial small subunit ribosomal RNA
Source: RNAcentral